GGUCCCAUUAUGUGCAAAACACAAUGACUGGCACUGUACAUACUUCUAUCCCAUUUAAUUUAGUGAAAUGUAAGGUUUAUCAUUUCAAUUUUUGAAAGAAGA
Long non-coding RNA from Sapajus apella (tufted capuchin), 102 nucleotides. RefSeq lists it as uncharacterized. The record is from RefSeq and is a predicted model, not a curated record. The transcript is spliced from 3 exons. NCBI's taxonomy places the organism in Eukaryota, Metazoa, Chordata, Mammalia, Primates, Cebidae.